RNAcentral lists this ribosomal RNA (726 nucleotides) under uncultured bacterium. RNAcentral describes it as "bacterial SSU rRNA". It matches the Rfam family "Bacterial small subunit ribosomal RNA", at positions 57 to 780 of the family's 1533-position model. The record is from RNAcentral.
GCAGUCGAGGGGUACAUUGUAGCUUGCUACAGAUGACGACCGGCGCACGGGUGCGUAACGCGUAUAGAACCCACCUUUUACAGGAGAAUAGCCCAGAGAAAUUUGGAUUAAUGCUCCAUAGUAUUGUUGAAUGGCAUCAUUUAAUAAUUAAACAUUUAUGGGUAAAAGAUGGCUAUGCGUUCUAUUAGCUAGAUGGUAAGGUAACGGCUUACCAUGGCAACGAUAGAUAGGGGUCCUGAGAGGGAGACCCCCCACACUGGUACUGAGACACGGACCAGACUCCUACGGGAGGCAGCAGUGAGGAAUAUUGGACAAUGGAGGCAACUCUGAUCCAGCCAUGCCGCGUGCAGGAAGAAGGUCCUAUGGAUUGUAAACUGCUUUUAUAUAGGAAGAAACCUUUCCACGUGUGGAAAGCUGACGGUACUAUAAGAAUAAGCACCGGCUAACUCCGUGCCAGCAGCCGCGGUAAUACGGAGGGUGCAAGCGUUAUCCGGAAUCAUUGGGUUUAAAGGGUCCGUAGGCGGACUAAUAAGUCAGGGGUGAAAUCCAACAGCUUAACUGUUGAACUGCCCUUGAUACUGUUAGUCUUGAAUUAUAUGGAAGUAGAUAGAAUGUGUAGUGUAGCGGUGAAAUGCUUAGAGAUUACACAGAAUACCGAUUGCGAAGGCAGUCUACUACGUAUAUAUUGACGCUAAUGGACGAAAGCGUGGGGAGCGAACAGGAUUA